GCUGAGAGAGACCGCGCAUGCGCAGUGCUUUCCGCGCCAAUUUCGAGCUUACAGACAAACCGAGACGCGGAGGAGGAGCCGCCAUGAUCGGGCAGAGGACCCUGCGCUCUUUCUUCUCCCCGGUCGCCGCCGAGAAGUGGAGCCGCCCGUCGGAAGACAAUGGAGACGCCGAAGAGAAGCCCUGCAAGAGGGCCAAGGCCGACGAGGCCGGAGCCCCGCUCAGCCCGGAGCUGGUCGAGCGCAUCCGGAGGAACAAGGAGGCCGCCCAGGAGAGGCUGCGCCUGGCCCGCGCCCGAGGAGGAGGAGCUGGAGCAGGCCUCGCCCCCGAACACAUCGCCCCCGCCUGGAAGGCCGCCCUCGAACCCGAGUUCCACAAACCCUACUUCCACCAGCUGAUGUCCUUUGUGGCCGAGGAGCGCCGCCGCCACACGGUGUUCCCUCCACCGCACCAGGUCUUCACCUGGACCCAGAUGUGCGACAUCCACCAGGUGAAAGUGGUGAUCUUGGGCCAAGACCCCUACCACGGCCCCGGCCAAGCCCACGGCCUCUGCUUCAGCGUCCAGAGGCCCCUCCCGCCACCACCCAGCCUGGAGAACAUUUACAAAGAACUGGCCGCGGACAUUGAGGGGUUUUCUCACCCGGGACACGGAGACCUGAGCGGAUGGGCCAAACAAGGGGUGCUUCUGCUGAACGCGGUGCUGACGGUGCGGGCGCACGAGCCGACCUCGCACAAGGAGAAGGGCUGGGAGGCCUUCACGGACGCCGUGGUCGCCUGGCUCAACCGGAACGUGGACGGCCUCGUCUUCCUCCUCUGGGGCUCCUACGCCCACAAGAAGGGCAGCGCCAUCGACAGGAAGCGCCACUCGGUGCUGAUGUCGGCCCACCCGUCCCCCUUGUCGGCCCACCGGGGCUUCUUGGGCUGCCGGCAUUUCUCCAAAGCCAACGCCCUGCUCCAGAAGUCCGGCAAGAAGCCCAUCCACUGGGAAGACCUCUGAAGCCUGGGCUGCUUUUCCCGGUUCUGGACUCCCGAGUUCUAGGUUCUGACGUUUGGAUUGCUUUCGUACAUUCAUAUUCAUCUCCCAGACCGACAUUCCAGACACAGAGGUUAAAUUAUUAUUAUUAUUAUUAUUAUUAUUAUUAUAACUAUAUUAUUAGUAGUAGAAGUAUGUUACUAUUAUAAGUACAGUAGAGUCUCACUUAUCCAAUGUUCUGGAUUAUCCUUAUAUAAGUAUAUAUUCUUAUAUACUGCCAGUACUCUUGUCAAUCAUAUAUUUAUUAUUGCUGUUAUUAAUAAUACUGUACACAAAACUAAUAU
Molecule: RNA transcript, 1315 nt
Organism: Anolis carolinensis (green anole)
Lineage: Eukaryota; Metazoa; Chordata; Lepidosauria; Squamata; Anolidae
Gene name: uracil-DNA glycosylase-like
Exons: 8
Source: RefSeq, a predicted model, not a curated record